AAUCUUUCGAAAUGGGCGAAAGCCUGACGCAGCCAUGCCGCGUGAAUGAUGAAGGUCUUAGGCAUGUAAUAUUCUUUCACCGGGGACGAUAAUGACGGUCCCUGGAGAAGAAGCCCCGGCUAACUUCGUGCCAGCAGCCGCGGUAAUACGAAGGGGGCUAGCCUUGCACGGAAUUACUGGGCGUAAAGGGCGCGUAGGCGGAUCGUUAAGUCAGAGGUGAAAUCCCAGGGCUCAACCCUGGAACUGCCUUUGAUACUGGCGAUCUUGAGUAUGAGAGAGGUAUGUGGAACUCCGAGUGUAGAGGUGAAAUUCGUAGAUAUUCGGAAGAACACCAGUGGUGAAGGCGACAUACUGGCUCAUUACUGACGCUGAGGCGCGAAAGCGUGGGGAGCAAACA
Molecule: ribosomal RNA, 397 nt
Filed under: uncultured bacterium
Lineage: Bacteria
Description: partial 16S ribosomal RNA
Rfam family: Bacterial small subunit ribosomal RNA
Source: RNAcentral